GACGAACGCUGGCGGCGUGCUUAACACAUGCAAGUGGAGCGACGAACCGGGGCUUGCCCCGGGGCAGAGCCGCGAACGGGUGAGUAACACGUGGGUAACCCACCCCGAUGACCGGGACGAACCCGAGGAAACUCGGGCUAAUACCGGAUGUGCUCCUUGACCUCGAGGUCAAGGCGUAAAGAUAGCUUCGGCCUUCGACA
This 200-nucleotide ribosomal RNA is filed under the name uncultured bacterium. Its description in RNAcentral is "partial 16S ribosomal RNA". It matches the Rfam family "Bacterial small subunit ribosomal RNA", at positions 28 to 219 of the family's 1533-position model. The record is from RNAcentral.